UUGAACGCUGGCGGCAGGCCUAACACAUGCAAGUCGAGCGGAUGAAGGGAGCUUGCUCCUGGAUUCAGCGGCGGACGGGUGAGUAAUGCCUAGGAAUCUGCCUGGUAGUGGGGGAUAACGUCCGGAAACGGGCGCUAAUACCGCAUACGUCCUGAGGGAGAAAGUGGGGGAUCUUCGGACCUCACGCUAUCAGAUGAGCCUAGGUCGGAUUAGCUAGUUGGUGGGGUAAAGGCCUACCAAGGCGACGAUCCGUAACUGGUCUGAGAGGAUGAUCAGUCACACUGGAACUGAGACACGGUCCAGACUCCUACGGGAGGCAGCAGUGGGGAAUAUUGGACAAUGGGCGAAAGCCUGAUCCAGCCAUGCCGCGUGUGUGAAGAAGGUCCUCGGAUUGUAAAGCACUUUAAGUUGGGAGGAAGGGCAGUAAGUUAAUACCUUGCUGUUUUUACGUUACCAACAGAAUAAGCACCGGCUAACUUCGUG
This 483-nucleotide ribosomal RNA is filed under the name uncultured bacterium. RNAcentral describes it as "partial 16S ribosomal RNA". It matches the Rfam family "Bacterial small subunit ribosomal RNA", at positions 30 to 507 of the family's 1533-position model. The record is from RNAcentral.